This 1111-nucleotide long non-coding RNA is filed under the name Salvator merianae (Argentine black and white tegu). RNAcentral describes it as "lncRNA (ENSSMRG00000003015.1)". The record is from RNAcentral. Lineage: Eukaryota; Metazoa; Chordata; Lepidosauria; Squamata; Teiidae.
CUUUGUUUUUUGCACACCCCGUCCACGGGAAAGAUGCGGCUUCAUGUGGACAGAGCAGAGUAAGCUGCAGACACACACAGAGCUAAUGAGCUAUAUUUUAAGCAAAAUGGAUUUUGCUUGAAAUCAACACCAAAUGAGGGUUUUUUUUGGCUUCCGUAGGAAACUAUUUUAGAAACAGGCAGUGUUCAGACGAGGAGCAGUCUGUGGGGGAGUAGAUGUACUUUGGGACCAAANUUAAGCACACCAUGGAAAAACCAUGCCUGGAAGUUCUGAUCGUUUCCAGAGAAGCUGCUGGUGGUGCUCAGAAACGCACAGCACCACUCUGGGAAGAAGCUUCCCAGCCUGUUACUAAGAGGUUACGGAUGGAUUUACCAGCUUAUCCACAGGAGUGGAAAUCCUCUCUCCCACUGCAUCCAAGGAGAAGUGCCUCCACCCAGGCCUACCCCACCAUGCAGCCCCAGUCUGCACAACAAAGCCAGAAUACUCGACCGAGANCUCUUUAUAAUCCUUACGAUUUUACCUCCGAUGAACUUGACCCAGCCUGUGAGUGGCCAAGGGAAGCAUCUUCAGCGAAGGAACAUAAGACAGAACAGUGUUAGUAUACUUUUUAUGAGGAAAGUUGGACUCGGGUGUUUGAAAAUGAGACAUUGUAAAGUUUCUGGGAUCCUGCUAAAGCCUGCACAAANCAGGGACAACAAAAGGGAUUUGGGGUCAGCAGCUUGGAUGGCUUCAAAAAAAGUUUGGACCCAUUAAUGGAGGCACAGGACUAUCGAUGGCUAUUUGCUCUAUGGCAGUAGGAGGUGCUAUGCACCCUAAGAUCUGCUGGUGAGGCUCUCUUGGCCAUGCCACCCCUUUCACUAUUUAAGGGGUGAGGAUGUGUGGGAGGGCCUUCUCGGUCAUAGCCCCCAGGCUAUGGAACAGUCUCCCUUCUGAGGUAUGAAAGGCACCUUGUUGUAUGUAUUCAGAGUGAUUGGUGAAGACACACCUCUUUACCCUGGCCUUUGGCUGAGGGAGCAGCAAGCCUUCCCCAUGCAGCCACUGUCACUGUUUUAGCCAAUCUACUUUAUCUGCUUUUAUAAUGAUUUUAUUGUGACCUGCCCUGAGUCCUUCU